GUAAAGGACUUGAGCAUCAUGGACGUGGAGCCACCAGGUGUGAGGCUGUGUUAAAACUUCUCAUUAGUCAUAUCGCUGGUUUAAAUGUGGUUUUAACAUCAUGAAGAUAAACGAGAACACUUUGCUGGAGGGACACAGAGUCGUGUUGGUGCCUUACAAUGCAGAGCACGUGCCCAGGUAUCAUGAGUGGAUGAAGUCUCCUCAGCUGCAGCAGCUGACCGCCUCAGAGCCGCUGACCCUGGAACAGGAGUACGACAUGCAAAAGAGCUGGAGGGAAGAUGAUGACAAGUGCACUUUCAUCAUCUUGGACAAGAAGCAGUGGGCGGACAGCAGUGUAGACCAAGAGCAGUGCAUGGUGGGAGAUGUCAACAUCUUCCUGACUGACCCCACAGACCUGUCCUUGGCUGAGCUGGAGAUCAUGAUAGCAGAACCCAGUUACAGAGGAAGAGGCAUCGGGAAGGAGGUGACCUGCAUGAUGAUGAGCUACGGAGUCACCAAACUUGGGGUCAAAAAGUUUGAAGUGAAAAUUGGGCUGGACAACGAGGUCAGCAUCGCCAUGUUCAAGAAACUCCACUUCCAGGAGGUGUCAGUGUGUAAAGUGUUCAAGGAGGUGACCCUCGAGAUGACGGUGGAUGAGUCUGUCCGGACGAGGCUGCUGGACGACACGGCCGACAUGAAGGAGAGAGACUACAGACAGGCCUGCAGCGACAGACAGAAACUGGUUUCACAGUGAAGUGAGCUGCACUCACAUGUCCCAAAGACUCACAGCGGUGGUGGAGGUCAUUUUGCACACUGAUGAGCGAAAUCUGAGUUGACACCUAGUGUGUGUUUAGACUUUUCAGACUUUUACACACAUCUGCAGAGACGGGAAGGACAUUUACUCUGUUAAAAGUACCAUUUUGUGGUACUGGUGCUUAUAAACCGAAGUUUAAAAAUGACCUUUGGACCAAACCAGGAAGAUGGACGUCAAUAUUUAUGGGAACCGACCGAAUCAAGUCUCUAAAAGCAAGAACUGAGAACUGUUAAGUACUUAAAAAUGGGCUUCUAACUACGGUGGCCGACCUGAACGCAAUCGCCCGAUCUCGAGACAGUGUUUGGUUUAUCUGCUCUGGGCUACUGUAGAAACAUGGUGGUCUCCAUAAACGAGGAAACGCUCCCUAGAUCAUCCCAUCCUCCUUUAAUGCAUCAGACUGAUCCACUGGACUACUGGCACAGUAUCGACACUCUGCAUGCUUGUAUGGCCUAGAGUGGAUGUCCAUCAGGAAAAAGGCCCAGCAGAGGAAGUUCAACCUGCCUCAUGAGCUGCAGAUCUAAUUCUACAAAAUUAUUCAUUCUAACUUUAUUGCAUCCAUCACUGUGUGGACUGGACCAGUCACCAAACAGGUUACAACAGACAGUCAUUUCGUGGAAAGAGUCAAUAAUGCCAUCCUGCCCUACAUUCAGGACUUAGUCAUGUCUAGAGUCAGGAAACAGGCAGCAAUCACUACUACAGAUGCAUCCCAACCUGUUCCAACUUCUCCCCUAUGGAAGGUGCUACCGAAAACUGUUGGCAAAACAACCAGACAGUUUCUUUCCACAGGAAAGAUCAACAGUUAACACAGCCCAUAGUGUCAGGACCAAUUUCUGAACAAUCCUUGUGCAAAAACUUGAACACCAAGUAUCCAUCUGUAAAUGAUACAUUCUUAUAGUUUAACUAUACACUGUUAAACAUUUAUAUAUCAACUUUGCCUAAUAUAAAUCUAUGCACACUGUACAUACUGUAAAUGCUGUCACGAUAAUCACUGUUUUGUUUUGUUUUUUUUAAAUAUAUGUUAUCACGCUUUGUUAAAUAUAUUUAUAUCUGUCCAAUAGCUGUAUGUAGUAGUUAAAUAGUUAAGUUUUACAUUUGUCCAGCUCGGUUGUCUCUGUUUAAGCUGUAUGUCUAUUUUGGUAUACUGCUGUGCAUUUUUGUCUAUGUGCAAUGAAGGUGCAUCAGAAAGGAAAGUAAAAUUCAUUGUAUUUGCACACAUACUCAAGUCAAUAAAGCUGAUUCUGAUUUAAAAACAUACAAUACUAUGGCUGUUUUUCAUGAUUUUAGAUGACAUACUAUGACGUUUUUUCAUGGUUUUGGACUACAUACUAUACUAUG
RNA transcript from Epinephelus fuscoguttatus (brown-marbled grouper), 2128 nucleotides. It is a transcript of the gene named N-acetyltransferase 9 (GCN5-related, putative), with no coding region annotated. The record is from RefSeq and is a predicted model, not a curated record. The transcript is spliced from 10 exons. Lineage: Eukaryota; Metazoa; Chordata; Actinopteri; Perciformes; Serranidae.